This 2223-nucleotide long non-coding RNA is filed under the name Cinara cedri. Lineage: Eukaryota; Metazoa; Arthropoda; Insecta; Hemiptera; Aphididae. The record is from RNAcentral.
UGAAUAACUUUCUGCUAUUGAUACGAGUCACACUACAAAAUAGAUACACAACUGAUAUAUCUGAUAAUGAACAGAAAAAUAUGUUUAUAAAAAUUGUAUUGGUGAGAACAAUACAAGUUACCUAUUAUAAAAUAAUAAAUAAGGCAGUCAAAACAUUUGAAUGUGGUGGCUAUAUUUGUAAAAUAAUAAUGAACAAAAAGAUAAACUAUGGAUAAAUUCAUAAAUAAAUUAAACUUGUCUAUGUUAAAUAUUUAUUAUUUAAAUAGAAUGUUGUUAUCAGGUUGUAGGAAAAUAUCUAAGAUUUUGUGCUUGAAAUGUGCUAAAAUGCUUUUCAUUUCAAGUAUUUUAAAUUAAUAUAUAAAUUAUAAAAAAAUGAAUAAAAACAAGUCAAAGAAAUACAUGUAUUAAAAUAGACAGGCGGCCUUAUAUCUCAUUAAAAUAAAGAGCUAGGAAAAAGUCAAUACUCAUAUUGUUCAUAGGUAGGCCACUGUUUUGAAUAUGAAUUGAAAAGAUAGCACGAGAUAAUUUAGAUUAAAGCCACAUUUACACAGUAACAGUCACCACUAUUAAGUAAUAGCUAUACUUAGCAGUACUAAGUAAUAGCUAUACUUAGCAGUACUAGCGAGAGUACAUGACAGUAGUAACUCUGGUAGCUACCAUGGACUGUUAACGUGUAAUCACUAUUCACACAUUGUGCAACAACUAUUGUCACAUGCAAAAUAUUUGUUAUCACUCAGCGCUAAAAGUGAUACGUGUUAAGCCACAUUUACACAUUUAAUUACCUUUAUCGUUUUUGUUAACCAUGUUUGUUAUAAUCAAAUUUCUUAACAAUAUCAAUUUCAUCCAUGAUUGUGAAACAAAGCGAUUCCCAAAUUUAAGAUUCAUUCAGAGAGGGAUAUUACUAAAGAACAACUAUUGCCGAUAUCCAGCACUUAAAGAAUAAAAGGAUUAUGGGCUAUUCAGAAGCUUUAGAAAUACUUACAACCAAAAACUAAUAAGAGCAUAAAAAUCAAUGGAUCAUAACUAGAGCUGGGAUUUAUAUAUAAUAAAAAAAAACAAUAAUAUGAACAUUUAUAUAUGUAAUUAAAAUGACCAAAAUAUGUAGUGAAAAUUAAAAAAAUUAAAAAUAUGGAAAUGUGUAUGAAAAUGUUGACCAAAAUAGGUAGUAAAAAAUAAAGUGUGUAAUAAAAAAAAUAUUAAAAAAUACCAAUCCAAAGUAAAACAAUGACAAACCAUAUAGUGUUAAGUUUUCAAAAUUAAAGCUAUGACUAUUAGGUCUUAACACUAACUUAUAUUGAUUAAACUAACGUUCCACAUCACAGGAUGUUAUCAGUGCAUACUUCAUGACUGUUAUUUCACUAAGUGAAAAAUCGAGCUCCAUCAUAUUUUCAUUCAAUAUACCACAAAGAAUGUUUCCUAUAAAUUUAAUAGACUUCAGUCCCGAAUUUUUUUAGCUGAAACUAUGUUCAUUUUAUAUUUUAAUAAAUCAGCUAUUGGGCCUUCCAAUUCAUUAAUUUUGAAAUUGAUGAAUCAAUAAUUUUUAAGUUUUUACUUAAUGAGAUCUUAGUAUUUUAUAGAUCCCAGCCCUAAAUAACAAUCAAUGUUAACCCUAUAAACACUUAUAACUUUUACGAGUAGUAUUAUCAAAAUAUAAUACUAUUAAACCACCAAUUUUAAUGAUGUAAAUUGACAAAAUAGGUUAUGAAAAGAGGAAAUUUUACAACUCGUGUAAAAAUAUGUAUUUAAGAUGAAAAAUGUAAAAUGAAAUUUGUCUUAUUUCACAUGUUCUAAAAUCACAAAAUCUCAUUUGUCCUGAUUAAUUUAUCAUGUGUUAAUAAAAAUAUGUAAUUACAUAUAAAUCUCAGCCCUAAUCAUAACUCUUAUAACUAAGAAAUCUAUUAUAUCUGCUAUCUUUAAUAAAUUGUACACCUAUAAUAUUUCAAUUUAAAUAUAUUAUAAUAAUAAUAAUAAUAAUAAAUGAAAAUAAUAGGUGAUAAUAGCUUAUGGCUGCCACAACUGCAUAUUAAUUUGCAUUCACGUGUAAACAGUACUCCUCCUGUGACAGUAACUGCUGUAGAAUGUUGUGGUAGUACAGUCGCCAUGUAAAUGCACCUUAAAUCCUGAAUGCAACAAUAAAUCAUUUCAAACAUAAUACGAUUUUGAAUAAACCCUAUUUAAACAUUUUGUUGCUAAAUUAAAAUUGAAAAUUAUAUUGAUUGGCAA